This is a non-coding RNA of Lonchura striata (white-rumped munia), 461 nucleotides long. Lineage: Eukaryota; Metazoa; Chordata; Aves; Passeriformes; Estrildidae. The record is from RefSeq and is a predicted model, not a curated record.
GCACAAGGAAGCACUGGAAGGCUGACAAGGAAUCGUGCUGCUGCAGGGCUGGGGCCAGAGCACCGCAGGGACGCUUCGCUCCAAAUUGCUUCAAGGGACACCAGAUCACAUUUUGGAAGGCAGAUGUUUAGGAAAUGCAUCAUGCAGAUGACUAACAGGUCCCAGAACCACUUACAACUGAGUAUCAGGCACACUGAGGAAAGUCUGCACUGGAUGAUUUUCAACUCAUCUAUUUCUUCCCUUCCACCAAGCAAAGGGAUUGAAAAAGCACUGAUAAACAGAAGAACAGAAAUGGAAAAUAGAACAGAAAAGAUCUGUGCUAGGACACCUCAGGGUCAAUCCUGAAUGUUGUCCCUCUUUAAAUGCUUUCUAAGAAAGCUAUUUUUCAUCCUGCAAAUAAUUAUGAGGACCUGUCAUCCAUCACCUAAAGGAAAUUUCUUCAUUAAAAUCCAUUUGUCGUG